CCUACGGGUGGCUGCAGUGGGGGAUAUUGCACAAUGGAGGAACCCUUAUCCAGCGACGCCGCGUGGGUGAAGAAGCGCCUCGGCGCGUAAAGCCCUGUCAGCAGGGAAGAAAGUGACUGUACCUGAAGAAGAAGCACCGGCUAACUACGUGCCAGCAGCCGCGGUAAUACGUAGGUGGCAAGCGUUAUCCGGAUUUACUGGGUGUAAAGGGAGCGUAGACGGCUGUGCAAGUCUGAAGUGAAAGCCCGUGGCUCAACCGCGGAACUGCUUUGUAAACUGUAUAGCUUGAGUACUGGAGAGGCAGGCGGAAUUCCUAGUGUAGCGGUGAAAUGCGUAGAUAUUAGGAGGAACACCAGUGGCGAAGGCGGCCUGCUGGACAGAAACUGACGUUGAGGCUCGAAAGCGUGGGGAGCAAACAGGAUUAGAUACCCUUGUAGUC
Molecule: ribosomal RNA, 439 nt
Filed under: uncultured bacterium
Lineage: Bacteria
Description: partial 16S ribosomal RNA
Rfam family: Bacterial small subunit ribosomal RNA
Source: RNAcentral